Long non-coding RNA from Cyprinodon tularosa, 2711 nucleotides. RefSeq lists it as uncharacterized. The record is from RefSeq and is a predicted model, not a curated record. Lineage: Eukaryota; Metazoa; Chordata; Actinopteri; Cyprinodontiformes; Cyprinodontidae. The transcript has 5 exons.
GCAGGUGGUCAGCGUCUCAGAGCUUUGUCCUCCUCCAUGGUCCAUGCAUGAGGUGGAGAUGGUGACAGCUUGUCACUGUGUGGAAGUCAAAAGGGUCACAGUCACAGGAAAACUGAGCCCACAAAUGAAGCCCAAGACCCCCCCCCCCCCCCCCCCCCCCAUAUGGAGCAGAGACAGAUCCUAUCCUCCCCACAGUCCAAGCCGCGCUACAUUAAAAAAUAAAUACAAAUCAAGUGUCAGACAGCAGCCUGAGAAUGCAGGUAUACCACCCACCAUGUCUCCUCCUCCACCUCAGCGUGUGGAUAAUCCACUGCAAGCAACUCCUGGUGACCCUGAUGCGGAUUUAGAAGCCUUUGAAAACCCUAACAACAUUCCUACAGGAGACUUUUCAUCGUUGAAGGACACCGAGAGGGGUCUGUUCACCCCUCUUCAGACUUACAAAGACGUCACCAGAUUCUGCAAGAGAAGAAGGUUGUUGAAGUCUGAUAGGAUGUGGUUUUAUCCUCGAGAACCUUUAGCCUUUGCAGGAGGCGCUCUGCCAGUAGCACAGUUGUUUUUUCAUAGCCCUGUCUUUCUGUGAUGCCCUGUGGGAGUCUGGAGAUGCUCCCUGAAGUGUCCUCAUGGGGAUGACUGUGUUGGGAAGGGGUGCAACGUGUUCCUGUAUAAGUCAGGCUACCACCAGAGGGUACAUCACAUUUUUGAUAUAUCAAAAUGCUGACGGAGGCCUUAUGUUGAGGGCUCUGCGCAAAGGCAGCAAGGAGCAGGGAAGGAGCCACUGUGGAAAGAUGGCUUGCAUGGGAUCCAACCAUUCUACUGCAGCUCAGUGAGGCUCAUCAGGCUGUGUUCCCAGCUAUCCUCACCAGCAAGCGUGGCAUGGACAAGAAGAUGGUGCGUCUCCUGCAGGACCGGACAGAAGGAAAGGAGGCAGAUCCAGGAGAACCAUGUGGGGAGUACCUCCAUCGUCUGGAUCUCUAGACCACACUGCUCAUGUCCAGAGGGAUGGUUGGUGUGUAUGGCCAUACUUUCCAGCCUCCACCUCCUCAGAGAGAGCAUCCAUCAGCUCCUCUCUUGUGCCAUGCCUUUCUGCUGGCAGAGGCUGAAAAUGGGCAGGACUGCAGGAACCAGAUCCUCUCCACUUUUGGCACUGUGCUGAAAAUGGAUUUCACCAAGUAUGUAAACCAAAACACAACGCUACACUAAAAAAAUGGGAUUUAAAAAUACAAUAAAUAAAAAAAUAAAAAGACAGGGAAAAUAAGCCACAUUUGUUGUUCUGUAGAAAGUAGGGAAGAUUAAACUACUAACAUGGGAUUUUUUUUUUACAUCUAAAGCUCUUCUAGGUAGUAAAGAAGCUUUCUGGUGAAGGUCGGAACUCAACUGAAUGGUUCACCAGCAUCGGAAACCAGCACUCACAGAUUGUCUCUUUUGUGCUGACUUGUGAGGAAUCCAAGAAGAAGCUGGAGCCAAUGUGCAGCGGAUUGAUGGAGAGGGACAAUCUGGCUGGUCAACCUGUCCUGAGCAUCCUGUACAUGGACCAUGGAUGCUGUCGUACUCGGAGACCAACAGCAGUGGAAACCUUAUUCCAGCCUUGGAAGGAGAACUUUGGUACAGUAGACUCCCCUAAUGUCGAGUCUACCAUAUCAAAGUGCUAUUUUGUCUACAGUUGAAGGUAGACUAUGUUCACAUUUGAUUUUCUGAAUGCUCACCUUGGGAAUGUGGGGCCAUGGGGGAGUGUUGGUCUAGUGAUUAGAGCAGUGCCAUUGUGCUCUGAGAAGGAUGCAAGUAUCCUGUUUGAUCCUCACUGAGAUAAACCCUUAACCCCACACAGCUUCCCGGACGCCGCACAAUGGCAGCCCACUGCUCCCCUAGGAGAUGGGUUAAAUGCAGAGAGAGAAUUUCCCCAUUGUGGGACAAUGGGGAAAUAUACAGUGAUUUUUUUGGGGGGAAUUUAAGCGUCACCUGUUGCCAUAAUUUCUGAUAAUCAGCUGUUUCUAAAUCACAAAUAAUGAACUGUUUGGUUACUCAAAAUUUCUUGAUGGUCAGAAUUAUAGUGAUUUAAAGUUGUAGGUACGCAUUAUAGGAACACCUGGAAAAAGAACCACUGAAGUCACAAAAGAUGUACAAGGAGAAUCCCUAAAUAGUGUUUGAAAUGUUUUAAUUAUAAAAACUGUUAAUAAAAAGAAAAAGCACUACUAAAUUUAUAAUAAAAAAACAUAAAAAUAUACUUGAAAUUGAGCUAUUAAAAAAUGAUUUAAAUGCAUAAAUUAAAAAAGCAGUGAAGUCAGGAGAUGUUUGCCAGGAAGAAUCUUUAAUAACAUUUAAAAGUAUGCUUGAUUUAGAAGUAUAAAAACCAUUUACAUUAACACAAACUGUGAUACUGUACAAGUCAGAAAAUAUUUAAAGGAAGAACCAUAUAUAUAAAGUAUAAAAACUAUGUGGGUAGAAAAAGUACUAUUGUGUCAAUAAAUAUAUAAAAGAACCAUAAAUAUAUGUUUGAAAGUAUGAAAAAAAAAAAACUUAUGACAACUAUGUAAAAUGACAAAAGUUCUACUAGAAAGGUUGGAGAAAUAUAUAGAAUGAAGAACCAUAAAUAGUAUUUUUAAAUAUGUCUGAACUUGAUCAAUAAAAACUAUAUACAUUAAAUAAACACUGAUAAACUACUACAAACUGAUUGUCCAAAGUCAUGGUGCCGGCGCAUCCACAACAAAGGUAAA